RNAcentral lists this long non-coding RNA (729 nucleotides) under Cicer arietinum (chickpea). Its description in RNAcentral is "long non-coding RNA (CARI_LNC002222)". The record is from RNAcentral. Lineage: Eukaryota; Viridiplantae; Streptophyta; Magnoliopsida; Fabales; Fabaceae.
CACCCCCACCUCCUUUUACUAAUGCUCCACCAAGAACACCUUUAAAUAAAGCUCCACCUGCACCUCCGCCGCCUUCUUACACUAGUGCUCCAACGGCACCACCCCCACCUCCUCCACCCCCUUUUAGUACAAGUCAGUCUCCAUCGCCUCUUUUUAGUAGAGCUCCACCACCACCACCACCCCUUCCUUCAUCAAGUGGAAGACCACCUCCACCUCCACCUCCUCCAAUGUCUAGAGCCCCUCCACCUCCACCCUUUCCUGGAGCACCUCCACCACCUCCACCACCACCUCCUGGUGGUGGUCGAGGCCCACCCGCUCCCCCUCCUCCUGGCGGUCGAGGCCCACCUCNNNNNNNNNNUCCCCCCCCCCCCCCCCCACCUCCUUUUCCAUAUCCUCCGCCACCCCCACCCCCACCUCCUUUUACUAAUGCUCCACCACCCCCACCCCCACCUCCUUUUACUAAUGCUCCACCAAGAACACCUUUAAAUAAAGCUCCACCUGCACCUCCGCCGCCUUCUUACACUAGUGCUCCAACGGCACCACCCCCACCUCCUCCACCCCCUUUUAGUACAAGUCAGUCUCCAUCGCCUCUUUUUAGUAGAGCUCCACCACCACCACCACCCCUUCCUUCAUCAAGUGGAAGACCACCUCCACCUCCACCUCCUCCAAUGUCUAGAGCCCCUCCACCUCCACCCUUUCCUGGAGCACCUCCACCACCUCCACCACCAC